RNAcentral lists this ribosomal RNA (439 nucleotides) under uncultured bacterium. RNAcentral describes it as "bacterial SSU rRNA". It matches the Rfam family "Bacterial small subunit ribosomal RNA", at positions 339 to 794 of the family's 1533-position model. The record is from RNAcentral.
AUACGGAAGGCAGCAGUAGGGAAUAUUGCUCAAUGGGCGAAAGCCUGAAGCAGCAACGCCGCGUGUGUGAUGAAGGCCUUCGGGUCGUAAAGCACUUUUCUGGGAGAUGAGAAAGGACAGUAUCCCAGGAAUAAGUCUCGGCUAACUACGUGCCAGCAGCCGCGGUAAAACGUAGGAGGCGAGCGUUAUCCGGAUUCACUGGGCGUAAAGCGCGUGCAGGUGGCGCGGUAAGUUGGGCGUGAAAUCUCCCGGCUCAACUGGGAGAGGUCGUUCAAUACUACCGUGCUUGAGAGCAGAAGAGGAAGAUGGAAUUCCCGGUGUAGUGGUGAAAUGCGUAGAUAUCGGGAGGAACACCAGUGGCGAAGGCGAUCUUCUGGUCUGUUUCUGACACUCAGACGCGACAGCUAGGGUAGUAAACGGGAUUAGAUACCCCGGUAGU